UUUAGCACAGGUGUAUGGAGGGUGGCAUUUUCUCUCUCUGCGAAGAUUAUUGAAGCCAUUUCCUGUUUGGCUUCCUGCAAAAGGGUCUUCAUCCCAAACAAUAACCAUGGCGGCCACUGAAAUAGCUAGGCAAGCGGGAGAAGGUGCUCGCGCCGUCCCUCUCGCCGGCCAUGUCGGUUUCGACAGCAUGCCUGACCAGCUGGUCAACAAGUCUGUCAACCACGGCUUUUGCUUCAACAUCCUCUGCAUUGGGGAGACGGGCCUGGGCAAGUCCACUCUCAUGGACACCCUGUUCAACACCAAGUUCGAGGGUGAACCCACCCAGCACAACCAGCCGGGCGUGCAGCUCAAGUCCAACACCUACGAGCUCCAGGAGAGCAAUGUGCGUCUCAAGCUGACCGUGGUCAACACUGUGGGCUUUGGAGACCAGAUCAACAAAGAGGACAGCUACAAGUCUAUUGUGGAGUUUAUCGACACCCAGUUUGAGGCCUAUCUGCAGGAGGAGCUGAAAAUCAAGCGCACGUUACACAGCUACCAUGACACACGCAUCCAUGCCUGUCUGUAUUUCAUCGCGCCCACCGGACACUCCCUCAAGUCCCUGGACCUGGUCACUAUGAAGAAACUGGACAGCAAGGUCAACAUCAUCCCCAUCAUCGCCAAAUCAGACGCCAUCUCCAAAAGCGAGCUGACCAAGUUCAAGAUCAAGAUCACCAGUGAGCUGGUCAGCAACGGUGUUCUGAUCUACCAAUUCCCCAUCGACGAUGAGACGGUGGCAGAGAUCAACUCCACCAUGAACGCCCAUUUGCCGUUCGCCGUGGUGGGAAGCACGGAGGAAGUGAAGAUCGGCAACAAGAUGGUGAAAGCGCGGCAGUACCCCUGGGGGACUGUACAGGUGGAGAAUGAAAACCACUGUGACUUUGUGAAGCUGAGAGAGAUGCUAAUCAGGGUGAACAUGGAGGAUCUUAGAGAGCAGACUCACACCAGACACUACGAGCUCUACCGUCGCUGCAAGCUGGAGGAGAUGGGCUUCAAGGACACAGACCCUGACUGCAAACCCUUCAGUCUGCAGGAGACGUACGAGGCCAAGAGGAACGAGUUCAUGGGAGAGCUGCAGAAGAAAGAGGAAGAGAUGAGGCAGAUGUUCGUCCAAAGAGUCAAGGAAAAGGAGGCUGAGCUGAAGGAGGCCGAGAAAGAGGUUUGUCUGCACGAGAAGUUUGACCGGCUCAAGAAGCUGCACCAGGAUGAGAAGAAGAAGCUGGAGGACAAGAAGAAAUCCCUGGAUGACGAGCUCAACGGGUUCAAGCAGAAAAAGACGGCCGCUGAGCUCCUACAGUCCCAGGCUCUGCAGGCAGGGGGCUCCACCACACUCAAGAGGGACAAGGAGAGGAAAAACUGAUGUGAGCCCUGUCACCGGCCCUGUUAGAAAGAAAGAAGACACUUGCACUGAGAAAGUUAAGGAUUCCUGUAGGAAUGAUUUUUCACCCCAUCCCUGGCAGUGCCAUGCUGCUCUCUGUGCCCUCCAGCCCCCCCCUCUCCCCCAUUCCAAACCCCACACAUGCCCCUGCACUGUGGAAGAAUCCAGCCAUUACUGUGAAUUGGAAUCCUUGACUCAAACACAUAAUUUUUGCGCUAAAGAUGCUUGUUUUUGUACGUUCUUUUUGUUACGAGCCAUCAUCCUCUGUUUGCCUGUUUGCUUUCUGUUGGAAAGUAGAUUUAUUUUCUUGUUGUUUUUGUUGUUGACCUGUUCUGCAUGACUGAGUGUGUUUUUCACUUUUACAUGCACAACUACUGCACAACUAUUGUUGUGACAGGCAGGAGUUUGUGGAGGCUAAGGUGAAAUGUAUAUCAGCUGUGGUCUGACCAGGCCAGUGGAGUGGGUGUGUUUGUGUGUGUGUGGACACAUGUUUACUAUACUUGUAAGUACCUGAAGUCCUCUCAAGAAUAGUAAACCAACUAAAAUUCAGAGAAGUGAGGACAUUUUGUUGGUCCUCACUUGUAAUAUGACUAUUUUAGGGUUAGAUUUUGGGUUCGAAUUAGGGUUAGGGGUUAAGAUUAGGUUAAGAGUUAGGGUUAGAGGUUAAGAUUAGGUUAAGAGUUAGGGUUAGAGGUUAAGAUUAGGUUAAGAGUUAGGGUUAGAGGUUAAGAUUAGGUUAAGAGUUAGGGUUAGAGGUUAAGAUUAGGUUAAGGGUUAGAGGUUAAGAUUAGGUUAAGAGUUAGGGUUAGCGGUUAGGGAAAAUUAGAUUUUGAAUGGAAAUCAGUUGUUUGUCCCCCGAAAGACCUCACUAGUAUAGUAAGACAUAGCUGUUUGUGAGCGUACUCAUUAGCAUCUUCCGGUCCAUGUUUCAGACCACCACUAUUCUACUCACUACCAGGGUAUAAUCAACCACUCCAAUAGUAUGACAUUAUGACGAUGUGCGCUGAUAUCGUGUUGCAAUAUAAUGUGUAAUUAUUGAAAAUGAAGAUACUAUUAUUGUAUGUUUUGAAUGAGGGCAUGUUGUCCACCACCUAUCAAGAGAGUAGCCUAGUUCCAGAUCUGUUUGUGUUUUUGCCUGCUCGUAACAUGGCAUGAAUAAUGAGUGACAGGGAGUUGGCAUGAUAGCACAAACAGACUGGCACUCAGGCUAUGGAGAGAGUGAGUGUUAGUCAACUGCUGAUGUUAUUUCAUCUUAGCCUAGUGCAUGUGCAAAUAUGAAUGAUUUCUUGUCAUGUCUGCCCAUUCCUCAUUGUUUUUCAUAUACUGUACGCUAUCUGCAUACUUGUUAGCUUUUCACGUUUGCACAUUUUACAUUUUACACAAAUGUGAUUUUGUAUAUUUCCAGUGCAAUUGUGACUUUUAGAUUUCUUUCUACAUAUAACAUCAUAUUUGAAGCCUUUUAACCAAAUAACAAUAAUGUAGGGAUCAGUAUUGCACUUGUAUCAGUGUUACACAAAAAAUACUUCAUCUCCAAGGGAAAUAAAGAGGGAAUUUCACCAAAUA
Oncorhynchus gorbuscha (pink salmon) is the source of this 2977-nucleotide RNA transcript. It is a transcript of the gene named septin 6, with no coding region annotated. The record is from RefSeq and is a predicted model, not a curated record. The transcript has 12 exons. NCBI's taxonomy places the organism in Eukaryota, Metazoa, Chordata, Actinopteri, Salmoniformes, Salmonidae.